GGGAGAAGUCAGGACAA
RNAcentral lists this unclassified non-coding RNA (17 nucleotides) under Mus musculus (house mouse). RNAcentral's name for it is "oocyte_clustered_small_RNA14038". The record is from RNAcentral. Lineage: Eukaryota; Metazoa; Chordata; Mammalia; Rodentia; Muridae.